RNAcentral lists this ribosomal RNA (253 nucleotides) under uncultured bacterium. RNAcentral's name for it is "partial 16S ribosomal RNA". It matches the Rfam family "Bacterial small subunit ribosomal RNA", at positions 524 to 776 of the family's 1533-position model. The record is from RNAcentral.
UACAGAGGGGGCGAGCGUUGUUCGGAAUUACUGGGCGUAAAGGGCGCGUAGGCGGCCCGCUAAGUCGAACGUGAAAUCCCCAGGCUCAACCUGGGAACUGCGUCUGAUACUGGGAGGCUAGAGUAUGGGAGAGGGAUGUAGAAUUCCAGGUGUAGCGGUGAAAUGCGUAGAUAUCUGGAGGAAUACCGGUGGCGAAGGCGGCAUCCUGGACCAUUACUGACGCUGAGGCGCGAAAGCUAGGGGAGCAAACGGG